RNAcentral lists this ribosomal RNA (465 nucleotides) under uncultured bacterium. RNAcentral's name for it is "partial 16S ribosomal RNA". It matches the Rfam family "Bacterial small subunit ribosomal RNA", at positions 28 to 507 of the family's 1533-position model. The record is from RNAcentral.
GACGAACGCUGGCGGCGUGCUUAACACAUGCAAGUCGUACGGUAAGGCCCUUUCGUGGGUACACGAGUGGCGAACGGGUGCGUGACACGUGCGUGAGGUGAACACAACUUUAGGACAAGGAUAGGAAACUGGAGCCAAUACUGGUAACGUGCUAUUGCUGGAUGGUGGGGGUUGGAAAGCUCCGGCGGUUGUGGAUGGACUCGAGGGCUGUCGGCUUGCUGGUGGGGUAGUGGGCUACCGAGGCGGCGGCGGGUAGCAGGCCUGCGUGGCUGACCGGCCACCCUGGGUCUUAGGUACGGCCCAGACACCUACGGGAGGCAGCAGUGGGGAAUAUUGCACAAUGGGCGCAAGCCUGAUGCUGCAACUCCGCGUGCGGUAUGACGGUCUUCGGGUUGUAAACCACUUUCAGCAGGGACGAAGCUUUUUGUGACGGUACCUGCAGAAGAAGCACCGGCUAACUACGUG